GGGAUGCUUUCCAGUGGCCCAUGUAGCAGAAAAAGGAACUCUUUGUUGAUACUAAAGAUGUUUAUUUCUUUCCCUUGCUGCAGAAGAUACUAAACCAAAAAAAUGACAAAGCAUGUGGCCCAGCCCUCACCUAAUCUGCUCAGAAAUGGGCUUAGGACCUAAGCUAGUCCAGUUACACUGGAAGUCCAGACUGUGUUGGGGUGGCUGGGUGUUCCAUGUUGGAGAUAAACAAGGGAAUAUGUUGUUCUACUUCAGAAUUUUUCGGAGAAGAGGUGGGAUGAGGGGAAGUGGCUCAGAGAUCAAAACUGAGCCCAGAAAUGACAGCCAAAUGAGGAUCCAGGAUGGCUCCUCAGCACGUCUGCAUUUCAGCUGGGAUGAAGAUGGUGAGGGGAAAGGGAGAGAUGGCCAGGACUGAUGACACAUACCUAACUUCAAGGAGCAGGAGGCCAGGCUUACAGUGGAGUGUAAAUAAAUGGCUGUGAUCACUACCACAGAAGACAAUCCUAUUUCAAGAUGGCCUGGAAGUUGCACAAAUCCAUUUUUGGUGAAUGGAUUUGUCAGACUCUAGACAUGUGGAAACUCCUUGGCGUAAAGGAAGCUGACUUGCAUUUUCACCUGUGCACAUUGGACUCCACCUGAGAGAUACCUUCGACUGCUUUCUUUGAAGCUAGAAAUGUCCCCACAGCUAUGUUUCUGGGCAAUAAACUGUAAGCAGAAGUA
Long non-coding RNA from Chinchilla lanigera (long-tailed chinchilla), 720 nucleotides. RefSeq lists it as uncharacterized. The transcript is spliced from 4 exons. NCBI's taxonomy places the organism in Eukaryota, Metazoa, Chordata, Mammalia, Rodentia, Chinchillidae. The record is from RefSeq and is a predicted model, not a curated record.